Molecule: ribosomal RNA, 439 nt
Filed under: uncultured bacterium
Lineage: Bacteria
Description: partial 16S ribosomal RNA
Rfam family: Bacterial small subunit ribosomal RNA
Source: RNAcentral
CCUACGGGUGGCAGCAGUGGGGAAUAUUGCACAAUGGGCGAAAGCCUGAUGCAGCAACGCCGCGUGAGCGAUGAAGGCCUUCGGGUCGUAAAGCUCUGUCCUCAAGGAAGAGAAUGACGGUACUUGAGGAGGAAGCCACGGCUAACUACGGGCCAGCAGCCGCGGUAAUACGUAGGGGGCUAGCGUUAUCCGGAAUUACUGGGCGUAAAGGGUGCGGAGGUGGUUUCUUAAGUCAGAGGUGAAAGGCUACGGCUCAACCGUAGUAAGCCUUUGAAACGGGGGAACUUGAGUGCAGGAGAGGCGAGUGGAAUUCCUAUUGUAGCGGUGCUAUGCGUAGAUAUUAGGAGGAACACCAGUUGCGAAGGCGGCUCUCUGGACUGUACCUGACACUGAGGCACGACAGCGUGUGGCGCAAACAGGAUUAGAUACCCCAGUAGUC